This 133-nucleotide small nuclear RNA is filed under the name Lynx canadensis (Canada lynx). RNAcentral's name for it is "U4 spliceosomal RNA (ENSLCNG00005004029.1)". It matches the Rfam family "U4 spliceosomal RNA". Rfam says of the family: U4 small nuclear RNA (U4 snRNA) is a component of the major U2-dependent spliceosome. The structure of U4 snRNA from yeast and human has been reported. The record is from Rfam by way of RNAcentral. Lineage: Eukaryota; Metazoa; Chordata; Mammalia; Carnivora; Felidae. RNAcentral also lists the same sequence under 1 other name.
AGCUUUGCGCAGUGGCAGUAUCGUAGCCAACGAGGUUUAUCUGAGGCAUGAUUAUUGCUAAUUGAAAACUUCUCCAGGGGCGCCCGGGUGACUCAGUCGGUUAAGCGUCUGACUUUGGCUCAGGUCAUGACCU